Molecule: ribosomal RNA, 261 nt
Filed under: uncultured bacterium
Lineage: Bacteria
Description: partial 16S ribosomal RNA
Rfam family: Bacterial small subunit ribosomal RNA
Source: RNAcentral
UAUAACCUACGGGACGCAGCAGUGGGGGAUAUUGCACAAUGGGGGGAACCCUGAUGCAGCGACGCCGCGUGGGUGAAGGAGCGUUUCGGCGCGUAAAGCCCUAUCGGCAGGGAAGAAGGAGGACGGUACCUGACUAAGAAGCCCCGGCUAACUACGUGCCAGCAGCCGCGGUAAUACGGAGGGGGCAAGCGUUAUCCGGAUUUACUGGGUGGAAAGGGGGCGCAGACGGGAGCGCAAGCCAGGAGUGAAAGCUCGGGGCCC